Molecule: ribosomal RNA, 508 nt
Filed under: uncultured bacterium
Lineage: Bacteria
Description: partial 16S ribosomal RNA
Rfam family: Bacterial small subunit ribosomal RNA
Source: RNAcentral
AUUGAACGCUGGCGGCAGGCCUAACACAUGCAAGUCGAGCGGCAGCGGGAAAGUAGCUUGCUACUUUUGCCGGCGAGCGGCGGACGGGUGAGUAAUGCCUGGGAAAUUGCCCAGUCGAGGGGGAUAACAGUUGGAAACGACUGCUAAUACCGCAUACGCCCUACGGGGGAACGCAGGGGACCUUCGGGCCUUGCGCGAUUGGAUAUGCCCAGGGGGGAUUAGCUAGUUGGUGAGGUAAUGGCUCACCAAGGCGACGAUCCCUAGCUGGUCUGAGAGGAUGAUCAGCCACACUGGAACUGAGACACGGUCCAGACUCCUACGGGAGGCAGCAGUGGGGAAUAUUGCACAAUGGGGGAAACCCUGAUGCAGCCAAGCCGCGUGUGUGAAGAAGGCCUUCGGGUUGUAAAGCACUUUCAGCGAGGAGGAAAGGUUGAUGCCUAAUACGUAUCAACUGUGACGUUACCCGCAGAAGAAGCACCGGCUAACUCCGUGCCAGCAGCCGCAGUAA